GUGGGUAUAGCUCAGUGGUAGAGCUUAUGCUUAGCAUGUACAAGAUUCUGGGUUCAAUCCCCAAUUCUUCCA
RNAcentral lists this transfer RNA (72 nucleotides) under Camelus bactrianus (Bactrian camel). It matches the Rfam family "tRNA". From Rfam's summary of the family: Transfer RNA (tRNA) molecules are approximately 80 nucleotides in length. Their secondary structure includes four short double-helical elements and three loops (D, anti-codon, and T loops). The record is from Rfam by way of RNAcentral. Lineage: Eukaryota; Metazoa; Chordata; Mammalia; Artiodactyla; Camelidae. RNAcentral also lists the same sequence under 2 other names.